GAUGAACGCUGGCGGCGUGCCUAAUACAUGCAAGUCGAGCGAACAGACGAGGAGCUUGCUCCUCUGACGUUAGCGGCGGACGGGUGAGUAACACGUGGAUAACCUACCUAUAAGACUGGGAUAACUUCGGGAAACCGGAGCUACUACCGGAUAAUAUAUUGAACCGCAUGGUUCAAUAGUGAAAGACGGUUUUGCUGUCACUUAUAGAUGGAUCCGCGCCGCAUUAGCUAGUUGGUAAGGUAACGGCUUACCAAGGCAACGAUGCGUAGCCGACCUGAGAGGGUGAUCAGCCACACUGGAACUGAGACACGGUCCAGACUCCUACGGGAGGCAGCAGUAGGGAAUCUUCCGCAAUGGGCGAAAGCCUGACGGAGCAACGCCGCGUGAGUGAUGAAGGUCUUCGGAUCGUAAAACUCUGUUAUUAGGGAAGAACAAAUGUGUAAGUAACUAUGCACGUCUUGACGGUACCUAAUCAGAAAGCCACGGCUAACUACGUG
This 497-nucleotide ribosomal RNA is filed under the name uncultured bacterium. Its description in RNAcentral is "partial 16S ribosomal RNA". It matches the Rfam family "Bacterial small subunit ribosomal RNA", at positions 28 to 507 of the family's 1533-position model. The record is from RNAcentral.